Molecule: RNase P RNA, 360 nt
Filed under: Gracilibacter sp. BRH_c7a
Lineage: Bacteria; Bacillati; Bacillota; Clostridia; Eubacteriales; Gracilibacteraceae
Description: bacterial RNase P
Rfam family: Bacterial RNase P class A
About the family: Ribonuclease P (RNase P) is a ubiquitous endoribonuclease, found in archaea, bacteria and eukarya as well as chloroplasts and mitochondria. Its best characterised activity is the generation of mature 5'-ends of tRNAs by cleaving the 5'-leader elements of precursor-tRNAs. Cellular RNase Ps are ribonucleoproteins.
Source: RNAcentral
GAAGUCAACCGGAUGGUCGCGGAGACAAGUGCCGAAAGGUAGUUCUCUGAGGAAAGUCCGAGCUCCAACGGGCAGGGUGCCGGGUAAUUCCCGGUGGGGGUGACCCCAAGGAAAGUGCAACAGAGAUAUACCGCCGCACUUAGCGGUAAGGGUGGAAAGGCGAGGUAAGAGCUCACCGGCAGUCAGGUAACUGGCUGGCCAUGCAAACCCCACCUGGAGCAAGACCAAAUAGGGGAACAAUGGAGCGGCCCGUUCCGUUCCCGGGUAAGGUCGCAUGAGGCUGUCGGUAACGUCAGUCCUAGAUAGAUGAUCAUCACCUCGCAAGAGGUACAGAACUCGGCUUAUAGGUUGACUUCGGAA